This 661-nucleotide long non-coding RNA is filed under the name Lathyrus oleraceus (garden pea). RNAcentral describes it as "Pisum sativum (pea) long non-coding RNA (PSAT_LNC002111)". The record is from RNAcentral. Lineage: Eukaryota; Viridiplantae; Streptophyta; Magnoliopsida; Fabales; Fabaceae.
UUUGCACGAGUUUUGACAUAGUAAUCAGUAAAUCUAUAACCAAGGCGUUUAUCAAACUUCUUCAAUAUCUUGCGCAAGCCAAUGGCGUUGAUCUCUACAAAAUAGAGGAGGUUUAAUAGAUCUUGUCCAACUGCUCUAUAAGCUUCUCGCAGUUGCAUUAUUUUGUUAAUUUCAGGCUCCUGCUGUAAAUCAUUAUGCACCUCUCCAAGCUUUGCUAUCCUGCUUGCCAAAAGCCCUUGUUGCUCCAAUAAGAAAAGCACAAUGGUUUCAAUCUGAAUUUUAACAUAAGAAAUUAUUCAAACAAAUAUAAACNUUUGACAUAGUAAUCAGUAAAUCUAUAACCAAGGCGUUUAUCAAACUUCUUCAAUAUCUUGCGCAAGCCAAUGGCGUUGAUCUCUACAAAAUAGAGGAGGUUUAAUAGAUCUUGUCCAACUGCUCUAUAAGCUUCUCGCAGUUGCAUUAUUUUGUUAAUUUCAGGCUCCUGCUGUAAAUCAUUAUGCACCUCUCCAAGCUUUGCUAUCCUGCUUGCCAAAAGCCCUUGUUGCUCCAAUAGGAAAAGCACAAUAGUUUCAAUCUGAAUUUUAACAUAAGAAAUUAUUCAAACAAAUAUAAACAUAGCAGUGAGUUUGACAAAGUGAUUUAGUAUUUCAUCAUAAAGCAU